GCGCCCGUAGCUCAGGUGGAUAGAGUAACGGAAUCCGAGUCCGGAGGCCGCAGGUUCGAAUCCUGCCGGGCGCGCCA
This 77-nucleotide transfer RNA is filed under the name Neomoorella glycerini. Its description in RNAcentral is "Moorella glycerini tRNA-Arg". It matches the Rfam family "tRNA". Rfam says of the family: Transfer RNA (tRNA) molecules are approximately 80 nucleotides in length. Their secondary structure includes four short double-helical elements and three loops (D, anti-codon, and T loops). Further hydrogen bonds mediate the characteristic L-shaped molecular structure. tRNAs have two regions of fundamental functional importance: the anti-codon, which is responsible for specific mRNA codon recognition, and the 3' end, to which the tRNAs corresponding amino acid is attached (by aminoacyl-tRNA synthetases). tRNAs cope with the degeneracy of the genetic code in two manners: having more than one tRNA (with a specific anti-codon) for a particular amino acid; and 'wobble' base-pairing, i.e. permitting non-standard base-pairing at the 3rd anti-codon position. The record is from RNAcentral. RNAcentral also lists the same sequence under 8 other names. Lineage: Bacteria; Bacillati; Bacillota; Clostridia; Neomoorellales; Neomoorellaceae.